This 842-nucleotide ribosomal RNA is filed under the name Simplicillium formicae. RNAcentral's name for it is "partial large subunit ribosomal RNA". It matches the Rfam family "Eukaryotic large subunit ribosomal RNA", at positions 66 to 938 of the family's 3401-position model. The record is from RNAcentral. Lineage: Eukaryota; Fungi; Ascomycota; Sordariomycetes; Hypocreales; Cordycipitaceae.
CAACAGGGAUUGCCCCAGUAACGGCGAGUGAAGCGGCAACAGCUCAAAUUUGAAAUCUGGCUCCUAGAGCCCGAGUUGUAAUUUGUAGAGGAUGCUUUUGAUGCGGUGCCUUCCGAGUUCCCUGGAACGGGACGCCAUAGAGGGUGAGAGCCCCGUCUGGUCGGAUGCCAAAUCUCUGUAAAGCUCCUUCGACGAGUCGAGUAGUUUGGGAAUGCUGCUCAAAAUGGGAGGUAUAUGUCUUCUAAAGCUAAAUACCGGCCAGAGACCGAUAGCGCACAAGUAGAGUGAUCGAAAGAUGAAAAGCACUUUGAAAAGAGGGUUAAAUAGUACGUGAAAUUGUUGAAAGGGAAGCGCCUAUGACCAGACUUGGGCCCGGUGAAUCAUCCAGCGUUCUCGCUGGUGCACUUUGCCGGGCACAGGCCAGCAUCAGUUUGUCUUGGGGGAAAAAGGCUUUGGGAACGUGGCUCCUUCGGGAGUGUUAUAGACCAUUGCAUAAUACCCUGAGAUGGACUGAGGUUCGCGCAUCUGCAAGGAUGCUGGCGUAAUGGUCAUCAGCGACCCGUCUUGAAACACGGACCAAGGAGUCGUCUUCGUAUGCGAGUGUUCGGGUGUAAAACCCCUACGCGUAAUGAAAGUGAACGCAGGUGAGAGCUUCGGCGCAUCAUCGACCGAUCCUGAUGUUCUCGGAUGGAUUUGAGUAAGAGCAUACGGGGCCGGACCCGAAAGAAGGUGAACUAUUCCUGUAUAGGGUGAAGCCAGAGGAAACUCUGGUGGAGGCUCGCAGCGGUUCUGACGUGCGAAUCGAUCGUCAAAUAUGGGAAUGGGGGCGAAAGACUAAUCGA